This 6204-nucleotide long non-coding RNA is filed under the name Gossypium raimondii (Peruvian cotton). Its description in RNAcentral is "long non-coding RNA (GRAI_LNC009742)". The record is from RNAcentral. Lineage: Eukaryota; Viridiplantae; Streptophyta; Magnoliopsida; Malvales; Malvaceae.
UACAAGUAGCAUUUGUUAUUAUUAGUACAUAAGAACACCAUUUCAAAAGAAAUUCUAAAAAUGACAGCAAAUUGCAAUCCAUCACAAUAACAAUGGAAGAGUUGAGAAAAGACUGAAACGCUUGAUUGGUUUACUCAGUUUUUAGGUUGGAGUCGGAGGGUAAAUGCUUGCAAGGAAAGAAGAACUUGCUUCAUUCUCUCCUUGGAAUCCUCAUCAAUAAGGUUACCAUCGCUAUCAAACUUUGCCGGAGGCUGAAACGCAUUCAAGUAAAACUCGGGUUUAUUGAUGAAAUGUAGAUCAAGGAAAACCCCAACUUGGCGAAGAUGAUAAUGUGAUCGCGCACCACCAAAGCCUCCUCCGGCGCUUACGAUGGCAGCCGCUUUAUCUGCCCAUACAUUUGGUGGUCUUGAAGCCCAGUCAAGUGCAUUCUUCAGAGGCGCUGGAAUGGUGCAUAUAAUGAAGUAAUGUGAAAUGGACUGUUUUGAUGUUUAAAAGGAAUCCUAAAAAUGAUAAAUCCUAUCCUAGUAAACUGUCUAGUAACCAAACCAUACAACUUCAUAUAUAUAUAUAUAAAGGAUGGAUUUAUAUUUGAGAUGAUGGGAGUGCAUAUAUAAUUAAUAAACCUAUACUUUGUGAUUAUAUUAUAAAUGACUGAUUCAUUUGAGAAGUUAUAGAUUUAUACAUCAAAUGCAGAUAUAAAGUUGUUAAUGAAAUGAACAUUAAAGACACUGUUCCACAGAGUAAAAAUAAAUAAAUAAAAAAGUAGGAAAGCAUGGGGGGAAGGGGAUGAAGAUACCAGUAAGAGAAUAGUUGUAUUCAGGGGAAGCAAAAAGGAUGCUAUCAGACUCCAAAAUUUUCUGCCUGAAAGCCUCAACCGCAGGGGGAAAUUUGCCAUCAACUUCCAGAUCUGUAUCCAGCAUUGGAAGUGGUGAAAUGUCUAUGUAUUCCAUUUGAACCCCAGCAAUGGACUCCUUGGUAAGCUCCAAAGCUGAAAAAAAAAAGAGAAAUUAAACAAAUCAACAUUCCCCAGAAAAACAAAAUCCAAAACCCAAACUGAAAAAAUAUUUACCGGUUCGAAUUAAGCCUCUGUUGAAAGAGGCUUUCCUUAAAGACCCAGAAAUGGCAGCAACUUUAAUCACUGGUUUCGAUGCUACAACAGCUUCCAUUUUGAUCUUAUAUCUUACAACUUUCUCGUCUCCCUCAGAUUAACUUAGUUAUGUGGGUUAUACAGGAGGGUGGAAGGAUGAGCUUUGGGAGGGGAAAUUGAUGAAAUGGUUUGGGAUAUGAUUCAUCGAUGACGAUUGGAGUUGGUGGAUUUUCUUUUUUUAGUUUCGAUAAUUUGAUUUGGUGUGAUUUGGACCACGGGAAUAGAAUAAUCAAUAAAGAUGCUUUUUUUUCCCUUAACUAAGCAAGGCAUUUUUCUUGUUAAACUAUCUUGAUAGCCGGUAGGGGUUUUUUCACAUUCAAACUAUAAAAAUUUAUAAAAUUAAUUAUUUAAUUUUUUUUAGUUAAAUGGUUAAUAGGAAGAUGAGUGGUAGUUUGGCCGCAUAAAAAAUUUAAUCUUCGACGUUUAUACAUUGCAUCAUUUAGUUUUAAUUUUUUUUAAAUAGCGCUCAAUAUUUAUGCAUUGCCUAAUUUUAACGUAUUGUUUACAUGAAAAUAUAAUUUAAUAUACUAUGUGUAAAUUAGAAAUAUAUAUUUUUUAAAAAGUUGUUUAUUAUUAAACUACACAAUCCUCAAAUACAUUGCUUUUUUUAUACUUCAAAUGACUAAAGUCUCUCAACGGUAAUUAAUUCAUUUUUUGUUAGCUUAAGCUACUAGUCAUUGAUGAAUCAAAUCAAAGCUCAAAAAGAUUUUAAAUUUUCUUUAAGCUGUUCAACUUGCAAUUGGUUAUUUUUUAAAAUUUGGGUCAUAGUGUUUCUUGUUGUUGUUGUUGCUACUGUUUUCAUCUAAUCAAAUGGAAGGAUAAUAUUGGAAAGGGUCAUAAAGAAAAGUAAAACUAUAAAAAGAUCAAAUUAUACAAUUUGUAAACAUUGAGGAUUCAUGUAUUUUAAAUAGUUGAUAUAGGUGUGUAACAAGAAGGAGAUAAGGAGGAGAAAGUGGUGGUGACUAGAGGGUUGAUUCUCUUGUGACAAACGAAGAGUUGGAAUAGGAGGUUGUGAGUGAGGAGAAAGGAAAAAGAAGUAAUGAGGAUACUUAGGUUUCUGUUGUGGGUAAAGAUGGAUCCCUUGUCCCUCGUACUUUGGGUUAUAUAAAGAGGUUACCUCUUAUAUGCUUGUGCUAUGUAAUCGACAAUACGAAUGGUAGGCCUGCUUGUGUGGUUGACUAGGUAGCAAGGUCGUUACAGGUUAGUUGUCACCAUGUGUGGUACUAUGUGAUCUUACUUUGACAUUCUCCUUACAAAGAUUAUACAAGGUUGUUACACUUUAGUGGUCUCUCAAUAGUCCCUGUAGAAGGUUUAUAGUGGAUGGUUUCUAAUAUGGCUCAAAGGGAUCCACGAAGAGUUAGUUACAGAUGGUCUUAAACGGAGGGUCACCCUAAAGGGUGCUAAUUGGAGGGUUAUUAAUGAGUUGCAUCCAACGGGGGAUCCUUAACAAGUUGUACCAUGUCCUGCCAUGUGUCGUUGUUGGGGUUGAGAUAUGGUAAGAAUCAAGAGUAAAUUGGUAUGGUGUAUACAUGUUGAUGGUCAAAAUUAUUAUUAUACUCAUUUUAAAAGCUACCACAUUAACUUUCCAUAAUUAGACAGUUAAGUGAUUAUUUUGUAACUUUUCAUAAAUAGCCAAAAAUAACUCAUUAAUAUAAUUUACAGUUGAAAAGCAAAGUAUUUAAUUUAGCUUUGAGUUGCAAUCGGAAUUCGCUUUGAAGCUAUAAUAGUGACAUAGAGAUGAUAGAUGGUAGGUUUAAUUCUGCUCCUAGUCUCUACUUUUGAAAUUUAACCUUUCUCAUAUAUAUAGAUAGAAUAAAUGUGCAAGCAUGGUCAUCGAAUGCGCUUGUGACUUAAAAGGUUAGUUUAGUAUUGUUUUUAAAAGUGCUUUAAAAAAGUGACGUGUAAAAGUAUUUUUAAAAUUUUUGAUUUAAAAUUUGAGUAUUUAGUAUUACUAUCAAAAAGUAUUUUUGAAAAAUAAAAUAUCUAUUUUAGACAUGGUAUUAUCAAGUAACAAAAAUAUAUAUUUAAAUAAUAUUCAAAUUAAUUAAUAUUAUUAUAUUUUAGUAAAAAUAUAAAAAUAAUUUAUUAUAAUUUGUUAAUAUUUUAAUAUAUAAAUUUUAAAUUUUAAAUUUUAAAUAUUUUUAAGCAACAAAUAUUAGUUGUUAUAAAAUUUAUUUAGAAUAUAUAUAAACUUUAUUUUAAAUAAUUAAAUAUAAACAUUAAAUAUUUGUAAUUGUAUAUUAACACAUUUGCAUUAUUUUAAAAAAUAUUUUUUUUUAUUUUUAAUUAAUGAUUUUAACAUAUUUGUAAUUAAGCACCAAGAAAAAAGAAAGAAAGUAUCGUAUUGUUGAAGGGGUGAAAAAUAAUUAAACACUUUUAAUAGAGAAAAAACUAAAAAUUUUAAUUUCUCCUUUCUAAAAGUAUAUUUUUUUUAAACAAUAGUAAAUAAGGCCUAAAACCGUAGUGAAACAUCUAUUUAUUAUUUAUAAUUUGGUUCCCUUUAUUUGUUUAGUUACUCCAACUUAACCCCAAAAGCUAGAAGCCAAGUUUCCUACUCAUUUAUUCACUCUGCCAAACUAGAAAAUUCUAUAAUAUCAUGUAUCUUCCUGAGCCGCCAUCAUCAUUCUCAUACAAUUUUGUUUAGAAAAUGAAAAAGAAAUUAUUAGAAAGCUGCCAUGAAGGUGGCUACUGGCUGACCUCAUACAUUAGAUUCUAUUAGUGUCAGGUGAUCGGAGGCUUACCUCCGGGAUCCGCCUUCAUUGCUAAUAAUAAUUUUUAGCUAUCAUCAAGUGUUGAGUGUAAUAAUAAGACAUAUUACAUUAUCAAGAAGACAUCUAAAUCUAAAUUUUAAAAAUGAUAUUGUUAAGAGAAAUCGUCAUAAAUUCCGAAUAUGAAUUGUAAAAUAGAUUUAAACGAUGCCCAGAAAAAAUGUCAUAAAUUACUUUGAUUGCCUUACUUUUAACAGGUUAGCCUUUUGAACCAAUGUUUUAGGCUAAAACUCUUGACCAGUUUAUUCAUAAAGCAGUUUGAGCUUUGGAACCAAAGCGGUUUUGGUAGGAUGAGUUUCCUUUCUGGAAUAUAUGGGAGAAGUGAGUAAAAUGACAGGGAGAGAGUAAGAUUUUUUUUAUAUAUUUUUAUUAAGCUUAUAUGUAUAAAAAUUCCUUAAAAAAACUAAUUGAGUUUUUCUACUUAAUUCAAAUUCAAUUCGGCCUUUCUCAUUAAUUAAAAAAAAUAAGCCUUUCAUUUUAUCUUUGACCACAUAGAUCAAUUGACAUAUUAAUUAGAUGGUAUCACAUAGUUUUUCAAUUUUUAAUAAAAUCAUUAAAAAUGUUAAAAAAAACUUAUAAAAAUUUGUAAAAAAAUUCAUAAAUAUUAUAAAACUUUGUUGGCUAUGCUGAUUCACGUAAAUGAACAUUAGGUUACAUAUUUAUGUUUGCUAGUGGAGCUAUAUCUUGGAGGAGCAUCAAAAAUACCUUAACUACUACUUCCACUAUGAAGGCUGAGUUUGUUUCAUGUUUUGAGGCUACCUCACAAGGAAUAUAGUUGAACAGUUUCAUUUCUGGGCUUAAACUUAUGGAUUCGAUUUCUAGAUCAUUGAUGAUAUAUUGUGACAAUUCAACUGCUAUCUUUAUGGCUAAGAACAACAAAAGUCAAAGUCAAAGUAAACAUAUCUACAUUAAGUAUCUAGCCAUAAGGGAACAUGUUACAGAAAAGAAAGUGAUCAUUGAGCACAUUAACAUUGAGCAUAUGUUAGUUGAUCCUUUGACUAAAGGCAUGCCACCACACAAAAUUAAGGAUCAUGUUAUCACCAUGAGACUUUUCCCACCUUGUAAAUUUUUGUUGUAAGAAUGAUUAUAAAGAAACUUUGUUAAGUUUGAUGUUUCUCAUAUUUUGUGCGCAUAUUAAUUUGAUUAUAUCGAGAAAUGCCACUAAAUUAAUUUGGACCUGGAAUAAACAUUGGGUUUAUUUAUUAAAAAUUUUGGGCUAAAGCGUUGAGACAUAAUAUAUUGUGGUACAUGGAAGAUACUACUUAAAUUUUAAGAGAAAAUAUUGUCAUGAUUCGUGCAUUAUGUUUUGACUUUAAGUUUUCAUAGACAAUACGAACCAAAUGGGAAAAUGUUGAAACUCCUUAUGGUUCGUGAGGUCAUUCCUACGUUUCCCAUGCCCCCGCUUUUGUUGCCCGCUACUUGUUUAUGUGGUAGUGGAUGUUUGCGUGAUAGUGGAAUUGAUGGUUUUUUUAUGGGGAACCACCACUAUAAAUACAAACUAGCUUAAAGGCCCCUAAGGACCAAAAACAAGUUUCUGAAAAUAUUCCAUCUAUUGAAGUUUUCGAAUGCUUAGAAGACUUUGGCAGUUUUCAAUUUUUCGUAUGGCUAAAUUUGACGACUUCAUCGAUGGUUUGACGUGCUCAACAGUGGUGUAACAACAUUUGAAUUUUGGCAUUUAGUUCAGACAAUGACUGGAGGUAUUUAUGUUCGAUCUUUUUUGCUACACUAUAACGUUUAAACCGUUAUUUAUGCUUCCAAGUAGCAUUUGUUAUUAUUAGUACAUAAGAACACCAUUUCAAAAGAAACUCUGAAAAUGACAGCAAAUUGCAAUCCAUCACAAUAACAAUGGAAGAGUUGAGAAAAGACUGAAACACUUGAUUGGUUUCAAAAGAAACUCUGAAAAUGACAGCAAAUUGCAAUCCAUCACAAUAACAAUGGAAGAGUUGAGAAAAGACUGAAACACUUGAUUGGUUUACUCAGUUUUUAGGUUGGAGUCGGAGGGUAAAUGCUUGCAAGGAAAGAAGAACUUGCUUCAUUCUCUCCUUGGAAUCCUCAUCAAUAAGGUUGCCAUCGCUAUCAAACUUUGCCGGAGGCUGAUACGCAUUCAAGUAAAACUCGGGUUUAUUGAUGAAAUGUAGAUCAAGGAAAACCCCAACUUGGCGAAGAUGAUAAUGUGAUCGCGCACCACCAAAGCCUCCUCCGGCGCUUACGAUGGCAGCCGCUUUAUCUGCCCAUACAUUUGGUGGUCUUGAAGCCCAGUCAAGUGCAUUCUUCAGAGGCGCUGGAAUG